Molecule: transfer RNA, 72 nt
Filed under: Lachnospiraceae bacterium JC7
Lineage: Bacteria; Bacillati; Bacillota; Clostridia; Lachnospirales; Lachnospiraceae
Also listed under: 5 other names
Description: tRNA-Gln
Rfam family: tRNA
About the family: Transfer RNA (tRNA) molecules are approximately 80 nucleotides in length. Their secondary structure includes four short double-helical elements and three loops (D, anti-codon, and T loops).
Source: RNAcentral
GGGGCUAUCGCCAAGCGGUAAGGCACAGGCCUUUGACGCCUGCAUUCGUUGGUUCGAAUCCAACUGGCCCUG